UACGUAGGGUGCGAGCGUUGUUCGGAUUCAUUGGGCGUAAAGGGUGUGUAGGUGGCGCCGUAAGUCGGGUGUGAAAUCUCGGGGCUUAACUCCGAAACUGCAUUCGAUACUGCGGUGCUUGAGGACUGGAGAGGAGACUGGAAUUCAUGGUGUAGCAGUGAAAUGCGUAGAGAUCAUGAGGAAGACCAGUGGCGAAGGCGGGUCUCUGGACAGUUCCUGACACUGAGACACGAAGGCCAGGGGAGCAAACGGG
RNAcentral lists this ribosomal RNA (253 nucleotides) under uncultured bacterium. RNAcentral describes it as "partial 16S ribosomal RNA". It matches the Rfam family "Bacterial small subunit ribosomal RNA", at positions 524 to 776 of the family's 1533-position model. The record is from RNAcentral.